Molecule: ribosomal RNA, 918 nt
Filed under: Myrmecridium schulzeri
Lineage: Eukaryota; Fungi; Ascomycota; Sordariomycetes; Myrmecridiales; Myrmecridiaceae
Description: eukaryotic LSU rRNA
Rfam family: Eukaryotic large subunit ribosomal RNA
Source: RNAcentral
UCUCAAGGUUGACCUCGGAUCAGGUAGGAAUACCCGCUGAACUUAAGCAUAUCAAUAAGCGGAGGAAAAGAAACCAACAGGGAUUGCCCCAGUAACGGCGAGUGAAGCGGCAACAGCUCAAAUUUGAAAUCUGGCGCAAGCCCGAGUUGUAAUUUGCAGAGGAUGCUUUUGGUGCGGUGCCUUCUGAGUUCCCUGGAACGGGACGCCGGAGAGGGUGAGAGCCCCGUACAGUUGGACACCAAGCCUUUGUAAAGCUCCUUCGACGAGUCGAGUAGUUUGGGAAUGCUGCUCAAAAUGGGAGGUAAAUGCCUUCUAAAGCUAAAUACCGGCCAGAGACCGAUAGCGCACAAGUAGAGUGAUCGAAAGAUGAAAAGCACUUUGAAAAGAGGGUUAAAAAGUACGUGAAAUUGUUGAAAGGGAAGCGCUCGUGACCAGACUUGCGCCCGGCGGAUCAUCCGGCCUUCUGGCCGGUGCACUCCGCCGGGCUCAGGCCAGCAUCGGUUCUUCCGGGGGGACAAAAGCGGUGGGAACGUAGCUCCUCCGGGAGUGUUAUAGCCCGCCGCAGAAUACCCCCGGGGGGACCGAGGACCGCGCUUCGGCAAGGAUGCUGGCGUAAUGGUCACCAGCGACCCGUCUUGAAACACGGACCAAGGAGUCAAGCAUUAGGGCGAGUGUUUGGGUGUCAAACCCGCACGCGAAAUGAAAGUGAACGCAGGUGAGAGCUUCGGCGCAUCAUCGACCGAUCCUGAUGUUUUCGGAUGGAUUUGAGUAAGAGCCUUGCCGCUUGGACCCGAAAGAUGGUGAACUAUGCUUGGAUAGGGUGAAGCCAGAGGAAACUCUGGUGGAGGCUCGCAGCGGUUCUGACGUGCAAAUCGAUCGUCAAAUCUGAGCAUGGGGGCGAAAGACUAAUCGAACCAU